AUGACUUGUGGCUGGGGGUGAAAGGCCAAUCAAACCGGGAGAUAGCUGGUUCUCCCCGAAAGCUAUUUAGGUAGCGCCUCGUGAAUUCAUCUCCGGGGGUAGAGCACUGUUUCGGCAAGGGGGUCAUCCCGACUUACCAACCCGAUGCAAACUGCGAAUACCGGAGAAUGUUAUCACGGGAGACACACGGCGGGUGCUAACGUCCGUCGUGAAGAGGGAAACAACCCAGACCGCCAGCUAAGGUCCCAAAGUCAUGGUUAAGUGGGAAACGAUGUGGGAAGGCACAGACAGCCAGGAUGUUGGCUUAGAAGCAGCCAUCAUUUAAAGAAAGCGUAAUAGCUCACUGGUCGAGUCGGCCUGCGCGGAAGAUGUAACGGGGCUAAACCAUGCACCGAAGCUGCGGCAGCGACACUAUGUGUUGUUGGGUAGGGGAGCGUUCUGUAAGCCUGCGAAGGUGUACUGUGAGGUAUGCUGGAGGUAUCAGAAGUGCGAAUGCUGACAUAAGUAACGAUAAAGCGGGUGAAAAGCCCGCUCGCCGGAAGACCAAGGGUUC
RNAcentral lists this ribosomal RNA (553 nucleotides) under Escherichia coli. Its description in RNAcentral is "partial 23S ribosomal RNA". It matches the Rfam family "Bacterial large subunit ribosomal RNA", at positions 804 to 1354 of the family's 2925-position model. Lineage: Bacteria; Pseudomonadati; Pseudomonadota; Gammaproteobacteria; Enterobacterales; Enterobacteriaceae. The record is from RNAcentral.